UUUCGGUGUAUUGAAUUAGAUAUGAAGUUUAGUAGACGAUCGGAGGCAAACUAAAUUAAUCAAAAAUGAAACACUUGAGGAUCCAGACUUUGAUGACCAGUUUUCCCGAUCGGUGUUUAUGCUGCGUCAGCUUCAGCAAAUCAUUCACCGGGAAGAUAACCUGGUGGUGAUUAAAUUCAACGAGCCGGGAGUAGUGAUCUUCAAGGCAGACCAUUUUGUUUCAAGUGCUCCUGAAAAGGAUAGCCAGUCGCUGCACAUGAAGGUCAGCCAAGCAUCAAUGCUGGCGAUGGAAACCCUUAUCAAUAGUCUUCGGAUAAUCUCCACAACCUGGACCAAUUAUUUUAUCGGCGCGACCACCGCAGUUCUAA
Aedes aegypti (yellow fever mosquito) is the source of this 368-nucleotide long non-coding RNA. RefSeq lists it as uncharacterized. The transcript is spliced from 3 exons. Lineage: Eukaryota; Metazoa; Arthropoda; Insecta; Diptera; Culicidae. The record is from RefSeq and is a predicted model, not a curated record.